This 453-nucleotide ribosomal RNA is filed under the name uncultured Rubellimicrobium sp. Its description in RNAcentral is "partial 16S ribosomal RNA". The record is from RNAcentral. Lineage: Bacteria; Pseudomonadati; Pseudomonadota; Alphaproteobacteria; Rhodobacterales; Roseobacteraceae.
CACGGAGUUAGCCGGGGCUUCUUUACCGGGUACCGUCAUUAUCUUCCCCGGCGAAAGGGCUUUACGACCCUAAGGCCUUCAUCACCCACGCGGCAUGGCUGGAUCAGGGUUGCCCCCAUUGUCCAAGAUUCCCCACUGCUGCCUCCCGUAGGAGUCUGGGCCGUGUCUCAGUCCCAGUGUUGCUGAUCAUCCUCUCAAACCAGCUACCGAUCGUCGGCUUGGUGCGCCGUUACCACACCAACUACCUAAUCAGACGCGGGCCGAUCCCUUGCCGAUAAAUCUUUCCCCCUCAGGGCACAUCCGGUAUUACCCCCAGUUUCCCAGGGCUAUUCCAGAGCAAAGGGCACGUUCCCACGCGUUACUAACCCGUCCGCCGCUCCCCCUCGCGAGGGCGCUCGACUUGCAUGUGUUAAGCCUGCCGCCAGCGUUCGUUCUGAGCCAGGAUCAAACUCU